GCAUAUCAAUAAGCGGAGGAAAAGAAACCAACCGGGAUUGCCUCAGUAACGGCGAGUGAAGCGGCAAGAGCUCAAAUUUGAAAGCUGGCCCCUUCGGGGUCCGCGUUGUAAUUUGCAGAGGAUGCUUCGGGUGCGGCCCCUGUCUAAGUGCCCUGGAACGGGCCGUCAGAGAGGGUGAGAAUCCCGUCUUGGGCAGGGUGCCCGUGCCCGUGUGAAGCUCCUUCGACGAGUCGAGUUGUUUGGGAAUGCAGCUCUAAAUGGGUGGUAAAUUUCAUCUAAAGCUAAAUACCGGCCGGAGACCGAUAGCGCACAAGUAGAGUGAUCGAAAGAUGAAAAGCACUUUGAAAAGAGAGUUAAACAGCACGUGAAAUUGUUGAAAGGGAAGCGCUUGCGACCAGACUCGGCCCCGGGGUUCAGCCAGCACUCGUGCUGGUGUACUUCCCCGGGGGCGGGCCAGCGUCGGUUUGGGCGGCCGGUCAAAGGCCCCAGGAAUGUAUCGCCCUCCGGGGUUGUCUUAUAGCCUGGGGUGCAAUGCGGCCAGCCCGGACCGAGGAACGCGCUUCGGCACGGACGCUGGCGUAAUGGUCGCAAACGACCCGUCUUGAAACACGGACCAAGGAGUCUAACAUCUACGCGAGUGUUCGGGUGUCAAACCCGUACGCGCAGUGAAAGCGAACGGAGGUGGGAGCCCCCCCGGGGCGCACCAUCGACCGAUCCUGAUGUCUUCGGAUGGAUUUGAGUAAGAGCGUAGCUGUGGGGACCCGAAAGAUGGUGAACUAUGCCUGAAUAGGGCGAAGCCAGAGGAAACUCUGGUGGAGGCUCGCAGCGGUUCUGACGUGCAAAUCGAUCGUCAAAUUUGGGUAUAGGGGCGAAAGACUAAUCGAACCAUUUGGUAGCUGGUUCC
RNAcentral lists this ribosomal RNA (904 nucleotides) under Aspergillus nidulans var. acristatus. Its description in RNAcentral is "LSU rRNA". It matches the Rfam family "Eukaryotic large subunit ribosomal RNA", at positions 38 to 958 of the family's 3401-position model. Lineage: Eukaryota; Fungi; Ascomycota; Eurotiomycetes; Eurotiales; Aspergillaceae. The record is from RNAcentral.